GACUGGAGAACUUGUUAGAGCACCUGGUGGCUGCCUUCCAGGGUGGGGACUUCUCUUUCAUCACCAACUUCCUACACAGCUACAGAGAUUUGGCCACCACCCAAGAGGUCUUGGAUCUGCUCUUCACAUGGGCCAUCCAAUUCAUUCUGAGCACUUGGUUAUGCAAGUUCUCAGAGGAUUUCUGUCAGCCCCCAGACUUUCCCGGUCUCAAUGUGGUGGUGGCCUACAUAAGGCUGAAUCUGCCUGGCUCAGAGCUGGAGAAGGUUGCCCAGCUUCUUCUUUCCCAGCAUGAGUGUCUGGAGUUGGUUCGGAGAGAACCAGAAGUUCCAACACCAUCUCCAGAGCCAGGCUUAAAACCAGCCCUUGAACUAGGGAUUCCUGCAGCCCCACAUCUGGCACCAGAUCCAGCAUCAGAUCCAGCUCCGAGUGUGGAGGCCGCUCAAGUUUUAGAGGCACCUCUAGGGUCUGCUCUAGUUCUCACUCAGAUGGCUCCUCAAGAAGUAGAGAGUGAGGGAGUCUCACCCUCUCCCAACACAAGUCAUCCCCCAAGAGAGGCCCUUUCCAGUGAGUGAGGGGGCCCAGCUGGACACUGUUAAGGUCUAAUCUGAGGACACUGCUUCUGGGUUUUUGGACAGAAGAGACAGGGUAUAGUGGGGAGGGAGUGUUGACGGGAGGUGGGAGGCAGAAUUAAUUUCUGUAUAAAGGGAUAAAAUAUUAACCAAUUAGUUAGGGUCAAUAUUUUUGUUG
Long non-coding RNA from Choloepus didactylus (southern two-toed sloth), 747 nucleotides. RefSeq lists it as uncharacterized. NCBI's taxonomy places the organism in Eukaryota, Metazoa, Chordata, Mammalia, Pilosa, Megalonychidae. The record is from RefSeq and is a predicted model, not a curated record. The transcript has 3 exons.